CUACGGGCGGCAGCAGUGAGGAAUAUUGCACAAUGGGGGGAACCCUGAUGCAGCAACGCCGCGUGGAGGAUGACGCAUCUCGGUGUGUAAACUCCUUUUAUAUGUCAAGAAAAUGACGGUAGCAUAUGAAUAAGCACCGGCUAACUCCGUGCCAGCAGCCGCGGUAAUACGGAGGGUGCAAGCGUUACUCGGAAUCACUGGGCGUAAAGGACGCGUAGGCGGGUUGGAAAGUCAGGUGUGAAAUCCUACAGCUUAACUGUAGAACUGCACUUGAAACUUCUAAUCUAGAGUAUGGGAGGGGGAGAUGGAAUUAGUGGUGUAGGGGUAAAAUCCGUAGAUAUCACUAGGAAUACCUAAAGCGAAGGCGAUCCCCUGGAACAUUACUGACGCUAAGGCGUGAAAGCGUGGGGAGCAAACAGGAUUAGAUACCCUCGUAGUC
This 439-nucleotide ribosomal RNA is filed under the name uncultured bacterium. RNAcentral's name for it is "partial 16S ribosomal RNA". It matches the Rfam family "Bacterial small subunit ribosomal RNA", at positions 339 to 795 of the family's 1533-position model. The record is from RNAcentral.